Molecule: ribosomal RNA, 345 nt
Filed under: uncultured bacterium
Lineage: Bacteria
Description: bacterial SSU rRNA
Rfam family: Bacterial small subunit ribosomal RNA
Source: RNAcentral
AGGGUUUGAUCCUGGCUCAGGACGAACGCUGGCGGCGUGCUUAACACAUGCAAGUCGAACGGAGCACCCUUGACUGAGGUUUCGGCCAAAUGAUAGGAAUGCUUAGUGGCGGACUGGUGAGUAACGCGUGAGGAACCUACCUUCCAGAGGGGGACAACAGUUGGAAACGACUGCUAAUACCGCAUGAUGCAUGACCGGGGCAUCCCGGGCAUGUCAAAGAUUUUAUCGCUGGAAGAUGGCCUCGCGUCUGAUUAGCUAGAUGGUGGGGUAACGGCCCACCAUGGCGACGAUCAGUAGCCGGACUGAGAGGUUGACCGGCCACAUUGGGACUGAGAUACGGCCCAG